Molecule: long non-coding RNA, 541 nt
Organism: Ictalurus punctatus (channel catfish)
Lineage: Eukaryota; Metazoa; Chordata; Actinopteri; Siluriformes; Ictaluridae
Source: Ensembl
UAGAUGGAUAGAUGGAUAGAUAGAUGGAUAGACAGGUAGAUAGAUGGAUAGAUAGAUAGACAGAUAAAUAGACAGAUCGAUAGAUAGGUGGAUGGAUGGAUGGAUAGAUGAAUAGAUAGAUGGAUAGAUAGAUGGAUAGACAGGUAGAUAGAUGGAUAGAUAGAUAGACAGAUAAAUAGACAGAUCGAUAGAUAGAUAGAUAGAUAGAUAGAUAGAUAGAUAGAUAGAUAGAUAGACAAGUAGGUAGAUAUAUAGAUGAAUAGAUAGACAGAUAGACAGGUAGAUAGAUGGAUGGAUGGAUAGAUGGAUAGAUAGAUGGAUAGACAGGUAGAUAGAUGGAUAGAUAGAUAGAUCGAUAGAUAGACAGGUAGAUAGAUGGAUAGAUAGAUAGACAGAUAAAUAGACAGAUCGAUAGAUAGAUAGAUGGAUAGAUAGAUGGAUAGAUAGAUAGAUAGACAGGUAGGUAGAUAUAUAGAUGAAUAGAUAGACAGGUAGGUAGAUAGAUCGAUAGAUAGACAGGUAGAUAGAUGGAUGGAUGGAU